AUGAACGCUGGCGGCGUGCCUAAUACAUGCAAGUCGAGCGAAUUGUUGAGUUUACUCAACAAUUAGCGGCGGACGGGUGAGUAACACGUGGGCAACCUGCCUAUAAGACUGGGAUAACUUCGGGAAACCGGAGCUAAUACCGGAUAUGUUCUUCUCUCGCAUGAGAGAAGAUGGAAAGACGGUCUCGGCUGUCACUUAUAGAUGGGCCCGCGGCGCAUUAGCUAGUUGGUGAGGUAAUGGCUCACCAAGGCAACGAUGCGUAGCCG
This 266-nucleotide ribosomal RNA is filed under the name Bacillus sp. ISO3_OTU20303. RNAcentral's name for it is "partial 16S ribosomal RNA". It matches the Rfam family "Bacterial small subunit ribosomal RNA", at positions 29 to 289 of the family's 1533-position model. The record is from RNAcentral. Lineage: Bacteria; Bacillati; Bacillota; Bacilli; Caryophanales; Bacillaceae.